GCUCUGGCACUUAUAUUUUUCUUCACAUGUUAAUCCCUUGUUAAUUCUCUCGGGUCCACAAAUUAUACAUAGCCCAAUACACCAAAUAAUCUUGCUGCUAUUUUUCUACUCAUAAAUCCUUUUUCUUAUUAGGUUAGACAAGUGCAACGUUAAUUUCUUCUCAUUUUCUUAAGCCUUAAAAGCAUCUUACAUUAGUUGACUAAUAAUAAUAAGAAAAUACUAUUUG
RNAcentral lists this long non-coding RNA (226 nucleotides) under Medicago truncatula (barrel medic). Its description in RNAcentral is "long non-coding RNA (MTRU_LNC002172)". Lineage: Eukaryota; Viridiplantae; Streptophyta; Magnoliopsida; Fabales; Fabaceae. The record is from RNAcentral.